GACGAACGCUGGCGGCGUGCUUAACACAUGCAAGUCGAACGGAAAGGCCCUGCUUUUGUGGGGUGCUCGAGUGGCGAACGGGUGAGUAACACGUGAGUAACCUGCCCUUGACUUUGGGAUAACUUCAGGAAACUGGGGCUAAUACCGGAUAGGAGCUCCUGCUGCAUGGUGGGGAUUGGAAAGUUUCGGCGGUUGGGGAUGGACUCGCGGCUUAUCAGCUUGUUGGUGGGGUAGUGGCUUACCAAGGCUUUGACGGGUAGCCGGCCUGAGAGGGUGACCGGCCACAUUGGGACUGAGAGACGGCCCAGACUCCUACGGGAGGCAGCAGUGGGGAAUAUUGCACAAUGGGCGGAAGCCUGAUGCAGCAACGCCGCGUGCGGGAUGACGGCCUUCGGGUUGUAAACCGCUUUCGCCUGUGACGAAGCGUGAGUGACGGUAAUGGGUAAAGAAGCACCGGCUAACUACGUG
This 468-nucleotide ribosomal RNA is filed under the name uncultured bacterium. RNAcentral's name for it is "partial 16S ribosomal RNA". It matches the Rfam family "Bacterial small subunit ribosomal RNA", at positions 28 to 507 of the family's 1533-position model. The record is from RNAcentral.